RNAcentral lists this transfer RNA (89 nucleotides) under Streptococcus vestibularis. RNAcentral's name for it is "tRNA-Ser". Lineage: Bacteria; Bacillati; Bacillota; Bacilli; Lactobacillales; Streptococcaceae. The record is from RNAcentral.
GCAGAAUAAACCCGCGGGGAGCGGGAACGGUUUGCUAAACCGAUUGGCUGCCGAUGGCGGCUGGGGUUCGUGUCCUCUGUUCUGCGCCA